RNAcentral lists this unclassified non-coding RNA (278 nucleotides) under Hevea brasiliensis (rubber tree). The record is from RNAcentral. Lineage: Eukaryota; Viridiplantae; Streptophyta; Magnoliopsida; Malpighiales; Euphorbiaceae.
GCUUUACAAUUUCUUCCAUGAAAACAUCCUUUCAUCUCUAGUAUCUCUACUGUCACCUCAACUGUGAAAUCUCCUCUCUGUUGCCGGCGACAAAAUGAGGGUAGUGACACCCAAAUCCCCAUCACCGACACUACCCGCCGAUCAAAACCGCCUUACCUCUACCCCCGUCGCAGUAUCCGCCGGCGGCGUAAGAAACCAAGAUGCUGAAUUACUCUUCCGUACAAAGCCAAUUGCUGAAAUUCGAAAUGUGGAAGCGGCCACCAGGAAACAGAUCCAGG